UCCUCGUUUAAGCGAGGCAGUCUGUCCAGAGUGCUCCGAACUCUCGUUCGGGUGGCAACAGGACACAAGGGUUGCGCUCGUUGCGGGACUUAACCCAACAUCUCACGACACGAGCUGACGACAGCCAUGCAGCACCUGUGUAUCCUGGUAUUGCUACCUCGUCACCCUUUCGGGCUUCUACUAGAUACAUGUCAAGGCCAGGUAAGGUUCUUCGCGUUGCAUCGAAUUAAGCCACAUACUCCACCGCUUGUGCAGGCCCCCGUCAAUUUCUUUGAGUUUUAAUCUUGCGACCGUACUCCCCAGGCGGCACAUUUAACGCGUUAGCUUCGCCACAAAAGGGGUCGAAUCCUCUUACAGCAAAUGUGCACCGUUUACAGCUAGGACUAC
Molecule: unclassified non-coding RNA, 387 nt
Filed under: uncultured Verrucomicrobiae bacterium
Lineage: Bacteria; Pseudomonadati; Verrucomicrobiota; Verrucomicrobiia
Description: contains 16S-23S intergenic spacer region
Source: RNAcentral